ACACCUUCGGGUUGUGAGGUUAAGUGACUAAGCGUACACGGUGGAUGCCUAGGCAGUCAGAGGCGAUGAAGGGCGUGCUAAUCUGCGAUAAGCGUCGGUAAGGUGAUAUGAACCGUUAUAACCGGCGAUACCCGAAUGGGGAAACCCAGUGCAAUUCGUUGCACUAUCAUACGAUGAAUACAUAGUCGUAUGAGGCGAACCGGGGGAACUGAAACAUCUAAGUACC
Molecule: ribosomal RNA, 226 nt
Filed under: Serratia proteamaculans
Lineage: Bacteria; Pseudomonadati; Pseudomonadota; Gammaproteobacteria; Enterobacterales; Yersiniaceae
Description: partial 23S ribosomal RNA
Rfam family: Bacterial large subunit ribosomal RNA
Source: RNAcentral